CCCCUCUCAGGGUCGCAUCUGGAGAGCUUCCAGUACUCUAAGUUUCCAGUCUUCUACCAGUCUCGGCUAUGGGAGGGAGAGUCAAGUAGAGGCCUACCCAUUCCAUUCCUAGCUUGGGCAGUGGCUAGCGAGUGGAAGGCAUUUUGCUACCAGU
RNAcentral lists this small nucleolar RNA (154 nucleotides) under Ornithorhynchus anatinus (platypus). Lineage: Eukaryota; Metazoa; Chordata; Mammalia; Monotremata; Ornithorhynchidae. The record is from RNAcentral.